RNAcentral lists this ribosomal RNA (252 nucleotides) under uncultured Sulfobacillus sp. RNAcentral's name for it is "partial 16S ribosomal RNA". It matches the Rfam family "Bacterial small subunit ribosomal RNA", at positions 524 to 776 of the family's 1533-position model. Lineage: Bacteria; Bacillati; Bacillota; Clostridia; Eubacteriales; Clostridiales Family XVII. Incertae Sedis. The record is from RNAcentral.
GACGUAGGGGGCAAGCGUUGUCCGGAAUUACUGGGCGUAAAGGGCGUGUAGGCGGUGCGAUACGUAGCGGUUUUAAGCCUCCGGCUCACCCGGAGGAGGGCGGCUAAACGGUCGCACUGGAGGGCAGGAGAGGUGCGUGGAAUUCCUGGUGGAGCGGUGAAAUGCGUAGAGAUCAGGAAGAACACCAGUGGCGAAGGCGGCGCACUGGCCUGACCCUGACGCUGAGGCGCGACAGCGUGGGGAGCAAACGGG